AGUGAACGCUGGCGGUAGGCCUAACACAUGCAAGUCGAACGGCAGCACAGUAAGAGCUUGCUCUUAUGGGUGGCGAGUGGCGGACGGGUGAGGAAUAUAUCGGAAUCUACUUUUUCGUGGGGGAUAACGUAGGGAAACCUACGCUAAUACCGCAUACGACCUACGGGUGAAAGCAGGGGAUCUUCGGACCUUGCGCGAAUGAAUGAGCCGAUGUCGGAUUAGCUAGUUGGCGGGGUAAAGGCCCACCAAGGCGACGAUCCGUAGCUGGUCUGAGAGGAUGAUCAGCCACACUGGAGCUGAGACACGGUCCUGACUCCUACGGGAGGCAGCAGUGGGGAAUAUUGGACAAUGGGCGCAAGCCUGAUCCAGCCAUACCGCGUGGGUGACGAAGACCUUCGGGUUGUAAAGCCCUUUUGUUGGGAAAGAAAAGCAGCAGGUUAAUACCCCGCGGUUCUGACGGUACCCAAAGAAUAAGCACCGGCUAACUUCGUG
RNAcentral lists this ribosomal RNA (492 nucleotides) under uncultured bacterium. RNAcentral's name for it is "partial 16S ribosomal RNA". It matches the Rfam family "Bacterial small subunit ribosomal RNA", at positions 29 to 507 of the family's 1533-position model. The record is from RNAcentral.